RNAcentral lists this ribosomal RNA (492 nucleotides) under uncultured bacterium. Its description in RNAcentral is "partial 16S ribosomal RNA". It matches the Rfam family "Bacterial small subunit ribosomal RNA", at positions 29 to 507 of the family's 1533-position model. The record is from RNAcentral.
AGUGAACGCUGGCGGUAGGCCUAACACAUGCAAGUCGAACGGCAGCACAGUAGGAGCUUGCUCUUACGGGUGGCGAGUGGCGGACGGGUGAGGAAUACAUCGGAAUCUACUUUUUCGUGGGGGAUAACGUAGGGAAACUUACGCUAAUACCGCAUACGACCUACGGGUGAAAGCAGGGGAUCUUCGGACCUUGCGCGAUUGAAUGAGCCGAUGUCGGAUUAGCUAGUUGGCGGGGUAAAGGCCCACCAAGGCGACGAUCCGUAGCUGGUCUGAGAGGAUGGUCGGCCACACUGGAACUGAGACACGGUCCAGACUCCUACGGGAGGCAGCAGUGGGGAAUAUUGGACAAUGGGCGCAAGCCUGAUCCAGCCAUACCGCGUGGGUGAAGAAGGCCUUCGGGUUGUAAAGCCCUUUUGUUGGGAAAGAAAAGCAGCAGGUUAAUACCCCGCUGUUCUGACGGUACCCAAAGAAUAAGCACCGGCUAACUUCGUG